ACGGUCCUAAGGUAGCGAAAUUCCUUGUCGGGUAAGUUCCGACCCGCACGAAAGGUGUAACGAUUUGGGCACUGUCUCAACGAGGGACCCGGUGAAAUUGAAAUACCUGUGAAGAUGCAGGUUACCCGCGACUGGACAGAAAGACCCCAUGGAGCUUUACUGUAACCUGACAUUGGGUUUUGUUGUAUUACGUACAGGAUAGGUGGGAGGCUUAGAAGGCUGGACGCUAGUCUGGCUGGAGCCGGCGUUGGGAUACCACCCUUGAUACAACGGAAUUCUAACCGAGAGAGUAACGAAAUCCGGGACAGUGUCAGGCGGGCAGUUUGACUGGGGCGGUCGCCUCCGAAAGAGUAACGGAGGCGCCCAAAGGUUCCCUCAGCGCGGCCGGAAAUCGCGCGAAGAGUGUAAAGGCAGAAGGGAGCUUGACUGCGAGCCAAACACGGCGAGCAGGUACGAAAGUAGGGCUUAGUGAUCCGGUGGUACCGAGUGGAAGGGCCAUCGCUCAACGGAUAAAAGCUACCCUGGGGAUAACAGGCUAAUCUCUCCCAAGAGUCCAUAUCGACGGGGAGGUUUGGCACCUCGAUGUCGGCUCAUCACAUCCUGGGGCUGAAGUCGGUCCCAAGGGUUGGGCUGUUCGCCCAUUAAAGUGGUACGUGAGCUGGGUUCAGAACGUCGUGAGACAGUUCGGUCCCUAUCCAUCGCGGGCGCAAGAGAUUUGAAGGGGUCUGCUCCUAGUACGAGAGGACCGGAGUGGACGGACCGCUGGUGUACCAGUUAUUCCGCCAGGAGUACAGCUGGGUAGCUACGUCCGGACUGGAUAAACGCUGAAAGCAUCUAAGCGUGAAGCCAUCCUUAAGAUGAGAUCUCUCACAGAGAAAUCUGGUAAGACACCUUAAAGAAGAUGAGGUAGAUAGGCCGGGAGUGUAAGUGCAGCAAUGUAUUGAGCUGACCGGUACUAAUAUGUCGAGGGCUUGACUUC
RNAcentral lists this ribosomal RNA (979 nucleotides) under human gut metagenome. RNAcentral's name for it is "bacterial LSU rRNA". It matches the Rfam family "Bacterial large subunit ribosomal RNA", at positions 1945 to 2925 of the family's 2925-position model. The record is from RNAcentral.